This 253-nucleotide ribosomal RNA is filed under the name uncultured bacterium. Its description in RNAcentral is "partial 16S ribosomal RNA". It matches the Rfam family "Bacterial small subunit ribosomal RNA", at positions 524 to 776 of the family's 1533-position model. The record is from RNAcentral.
UACGUAGGGUGCAAGCGUUAAUCGGAAUUACUGGGCGUAAAGCGUGCGCAGGCGGUUAUGUAAGACAGUUGUGAAAUCCCCGGGCUCAACCUGGGAACUGCAUCUGUGACUGCAUAGCUAGAGUACGGUAGAGGGGGAUGGAAUUCCGCGUGUAGCAGUGAAAUGCGUAGAGAUGCGGAGGAACACCGAUGGCGAAGGCAGCCCCCUGGGUCGACACUGACGCUCAGGCACGAAAGCGUGGGGAGCAAACAGG